GCCAGGUGUGGUGGUGCACACCUGUAGUCCCAGCUACUCGGGAGGCUGAGGCAGAAGGAUUGCUUGAACCCAGGAGCCAGAGGUUGCAGUGAGCCGAGAUUGUGCCACUGCACUCCAGCCUGGGUGACAGAGUGAGACUCUGUCUCAA
Molecule: signal recognition particle RNA, 148 nt
Filed under: Nomascus leucogenys (northern white-cheeked gibbon)
Lineage: Eukaryota; Metazoa; Chordata; Mammalia; Primates; Hylobatidae
Description: Metazoan signal recognition particle RNA
Rfam family: Metazoan signal recognition particle RNA
About the family: The signal recognition particle (SRP) is a universally conserved ribonucleoprotein. It is involved in the co-translational targeting of proteins to membranes.
Source: Rfam by way of RNAcentral